RNAcentral lists this small RNA (154 nucleotides) under Chelonoidis abingdonii (Abingdon island giant tortoise). RNAcentral's name for it is "TUC338 (ENSCABG00000020823.1)". The record is from RNAcentral. Lineage: Eukaryota; Metazoa; Chordata; Testudines; Testudinidae.
CCAGCUCUGGAGCCAUAAGCCCUUUGUUAAUCCCCAGAGCUGUCUGGGCAGGGGCAGCUUCCUCCAUAAUGUGGCUCAGUUCUGACCAGGAGUGACCAUCUGUAGUGGUGAGACUGGAGCUCUAUCUCUGUGGUCCAUAUAAUCCUUGGCCUUU